CCUACGGGAGGCAGCAGUGGGGAAUAUUGCACAAUGGGGGAAACCCUGAUGCAGCGACGCCGCGUGAGUGAAGAAGUAUUUCGGUAUGUAAAGCUCUAUCAGCAGGGAAGAAAUAGCGACCUUUGGGUCGCCAGACGGUACCUGAUUAAGAAGCCCCGGCUAACUACGUGCCAGCAGCCCCGGUAAUACGUAGGGGGCAAGCGUUAUCCGGAUUUACUGGGUGUAAAGGGAGCGUAGACGGCAGCGCAAGUCUGAAGUGAAAUGCCGGGGCUUAACCCCGGAACUGCUUUGGAAGUUGUGCAGCGAGAGUGCAGGAGAGGUAAGUGGAAUUCCUGGUGUAGCGGUGAAAUGCGUAGAUAUUAGGAGGAACACCAGUGGCGAAGGCGGCUUACUGGACUGUAACUGACGUUGAGGCUCGAAAGCGUGGGGAGCAAACAGGAUUAGAUACCCGGGUAGUC
This 458-nucleotide ribosomal RNA is filed under the name uncultured bacterium. Its description in RNAcentral is "partial 16S ribosomal RNA". It matches the Rfam family "Bacterial small subunit ribosomal RNA", at positions 338 to 795 of the family's 1533-position model. The record is from RNAcentral.